AGUGAACGCUGGCGGCAGGCCUAAUACAUGCAAGUCGAACGGCAGCACAGCAGAGCUUGCUCUGUGGGUGGCGAGUGGCGGACGGGUGAGGAAUACAUGGGAAUCUGCCCAGUCGUGGGGGAUAACGUAUGGAACGUACGCUAAUACCGCAUGCGCCUACGGGGAAGCGGGACCGAAGGCCUGGCGCGAUUGGAUGAGCCCAUGUUCGAUUAGCUAGUUGGCGGGGUAAAGGCCCACCAAGGCGACGAUCGAUAGCUGGUCUGAGAGGAUGAUCAGCCACACUGGAACUGAGACACGGUCCAGACUCCUACGGGAGGCAGCAGUAGGGAAUAUUGGACAAUGGGGGCGAACCCUCGAUCCCAGCCAUGCCGCGUGAGUGAAGAAGGCCCUCGGGUUGUAAAGCUCUUUUGUCCGGAAAGAAAAGCUUCGGUUAAUACCCGGGUGUUCUGACGGUACCGGAAGAUAAGCACCGG
This 473-nucleotide ribosomal RNA is filed under the name uncultured bacterium. RNAcentral's name for it is "bacterial SSU rRNA". It matches the Rfam family "Bacterial small subunit ribosomal RNA", at positions 29 to 496 of the family's 1533-position model. The record is from RNAcentral.